Molecule: ribosomal RNA, 561 nt
Filed under: uncultured eukaryote
Lineage: Eukaryota
Description: bacterial SSU rRNA
Rfam family: Eukaryotic small subunit ribosomal RNA
Source: RNAcentral
GUGACAAGAAAUACCGAUGCGGGACCCUACGGGUGCCGCGUUCGGAAUGAGUACGAUUCGAACCACCUAAACGAGGAACGAUCGGAGGGCAAGUCUGGUGCCAGCAGCCGCGGUAAAUUCCAGCUCCAAUAGCGUACGUUAAAGUUGCUGCAGUUAAAAAGCUCGUAGUUGAAACGUUCGGGUUCCGCGGGACGGGGCCGCCCCGCGAGGGACGGCGCCGCCCCGGGGCUCGUGAUAUCUUAUCUCGCCGCCCGUCGCGAGGCGGACGGAGGGAUGGAUGAGGUUACCUGGAAAAAAUCGGGGCGAUCUAGGCGGGCGAACCUCGCCAACGAACGAUCGGACAUGGGAUAACGGAAGAGGGCGUCGGCUCGACUUCGUCGGUUCCUCGGGCCGAGGCACGUACGGUGAAUAGGGACGGUCGGGGCCGCCCGUACCGGGUCGUGAGAGGUGAAAUUCUAGGAUCGACCCGAGACGAACUGCCGCGAAAGCAUUCGGCAAGGACGCUUUCAUUAAUCAAGAACGAAAGUCGGGGGAUCGAAGACGAUCAGAUACCGUCGUAGU